Candoia aspera is the source of this 933-nucleotide long non-coding RNA. RefSeq lists it as uncharacterized. The transcript is spliced from 2 exons. The record is from RefSeq and is a predicted model, not a curated record. NCBI's taxonomy places the organism in Eukaryota, Metazoa, Chordata, Lepidosauria, Squamata, Candoiidae.
GUCUUGUUUCCCAACAAUUAAAUUUUAACAAGACUUAUACCUAGAGAUGGUGUGUAUAGCGUUGAAGUGUGACAGUUUGAACUGAACACAGUUUUCUUGACAUACUCUUCCCCGCUUUUUUUCCCUGUGGUUUGUGCAGAAGUGCUUCCUUGCAGACUGAGCUCCUUUUUCCACCUCAGGCAUCAAAGGCUCUUGGGACUGGCCUGACACACAUACAGAACCCAGCUAUAAAGAAGAGCAGUUGUGAGAAUAUGAAGAGCUGGUGGAAUCCAGCUGUCCUCCAUUUGCUUAGCUUGCCUUACCUUUGAGCCUCCAGUUCUGUCCCACUGCUCGGUCUUGGUGGUCGCCUGGGGCGAGACUGAAAAGAAGAGAGAACCUGAGUCACUGUGGGACGCUGGACUUGUAAGGGAUCAGCUACCUUUCUCUGUUCUUUGAUGGGACAGGCAGUUCUGUGGAACCUUUCCUUUGGGAUCUAGAGCUAUAUAUUCCUCACUUGAGUCAUCACAGCAGGCUGCCCUAUACUGAUUGCCCUGCAGAUAUGGUCUGGGACUUCAGGUCUCAAAAGUCUCUGCAAUGGUCCUGCCAUCUGGGGAUUCCUGGGGACUGGAAUCAGAACAUCUGGCAGAUAUCCAGUUAGGAGAAGACUAGUUGGUCUAGUAAGAGGCAAGCAGAGUCUAGUUAUACUUCUGGGAAGGGGUGGGGGGCAAGGAUUUCCAAUAUAUCAAAAAUGCGGUUGCAUGAGCCACCAUCCUUUGAUAUUCCUUCAACACUCUUAAUUGCCAAGAAGAGCAGUGGCAUAUAAUUCCCUUUCUCCAGGGUUAGAAAAUGAAUGUCUGUGAAGAAAGUUGCAACAGAAAGAAGGCUCCAACUCUGCUUCUGUAGAUUCUCCCACUUCUGUCCAAAGAGAGCCUUUGUGCAUGAUUUCUGAACCAA